Molecule: ribosomal RNA, 420 nt
Filed under: bacterium
Lineage: Bacteria
Description: partial 16S ribosomal RNA
Rfam family: Bacterial small subunit ribosomal RNA
Source: RNAcentral
UGGGGGAUAUUGCACAAUGGGCGAAAGCCUGAUGCAGCGACGCCGCGUGGGGGAUGAAGGCUUUCGGGUUGUAAACCUCUUUCGCUAUCGAACAAGGCCCGCUUAGGGUGGGUUGAGGGUAGGUGGAGAAGAAGCGCCGGCUAACUACGUGCCAGCAGCCGCGGUAAUACGUAGGGCGCGAGCGUUGUCCGGAAUUAUUGGGCGUAAAGGGCUUGUAGGCGGCUUGUUGCGCCUGCUGUGAAAACGCGGGGCUUAACUUCGCGCGUGAAGUGGGUACGGGCAGGCUUGAGUGGGGUAGGGGUGACUGGAAUUCCAGGUGUAGCGGUGGAAUGCGCAGAUAUCUGGAGGAACACCGAUGGCGAAGGCAGGUAACUGGGCCAUUACUGACGCUGAGGAGCGAAAGCAUGGGUAGCGAACAGG